UGGGGAAUUUUGCACAAUGGGGGAAACCCUGAUGCAGCGACGCCGCGUGAUUUAGAAGGCCUUCGGGUUGUAAAAAUCUUUUCUAUGGGAAGAAAAUGACAGUACCAUAGGAAUAAGGACCGGCUAAUUACGUGCCAGCAGCCGCGGUAAUACGUAAGGUCCGAGCGUUGUCCGGAAUCAUUGGGCGUAAAGGGUACGUAGGCGGGUAAGCAAGUUAGAAGUGAAAUCCUAUAGCUCAACUAUAGUAAGCUUUUAAAACUGCUCAUCUGGGGGUAUGGAAGGGAAGGGGGAUUUCCUAGUGUGGCGGGGAAAGGCGCAGGUAUAAGGGGGAAGACCGGUGGCGAGGGCAAGUAUCUGGCCAGACCCUGACGCUGGGGUACGAAAGCGUGGGUAGCAAACAGA
RNAcentral lists this ribosomal RNA (402 nucleotides) under bacterium. Its description in RNAcentral is "partial 16S ribosomal RNA". It matches the Rfam family "Bacterial small subunit ribosomal RNA", at positions 355 to 776 of the family's 1533-position model. The record is from RNAcentral.